GUAAACCUCUUUUUUCAGGGAGGAAUCAAUGACGUGUACCUGAAGAAUAAGCAUCGGCUAACUCCGUGCCAGCAGCCGCGGUAAGACGGAGGAUGCAAGUGUUAUCCGGAAUCACUGGGCGUAAAGCGUCUGUAGGUGGUUUAAUAAGUCAACUGUUAAAUCUUGAGGCUCAACUUCAAAAUCGCAGUCGAAACUAUUAGACUAGAGUAUAGUAGAGGUAAAGGGAAUUUCCAGUGGAGCGGUGAAAUGCGUAGAUAUUGGAAAGAACACCGAUGGCGAAAGCACUUUACUGGGCUAUUACUAACACUCAGAGACGAAAGCUAGGGUAG
RNAcentral lists this ribosomal RNA (329 nucleotides) under Lessardia elongata. RNAcentral describes it as "partial Bacterial small subunit ribosomal RNA". It matches the Rfam family "Bacterial small subunit ribosomal RNA", at positions 425 to 768 of the family's 1533-position model. Lineage: Eukaryota; Dinophyceae; Peridiniales; Podolampadaceae. The record is from RNAcentral.